UCUCUUUCUCUUUCUCCUAGCAGUGAGCUGUCUGAGUGAAUUCUCCUUGCUCAUGUGAUGGAGGGGAGGGAACACAGUCAACUGGGGUUGAACAAGAGGAAGAGUCUGUUCCCUUCGUGGACAGUAACGGAAAGAGAGGCCAGCUCAUAUACCAAGGAGGACUGGUUCAGCAUGGAGUCCCCUUAUUUUCUGCCUCUGCUUGCAUCUCUACAGAUAUUUUUCCUGUGUGGGUCACCUGCAGACCUCCCUGCACCCCCCAAACUCUCUGUGAGCCCAGAGAAAAUGGAAUAUCUCAUCGGAGACACUGUUUCCUUCCAAUGUGUGGCUCCCACUUCAAAGGACAAGAUACAGAGCUUUCAGUUCUCAGGGACAGCUGGAUGGGCUGUGGACAUUCGGACCUCCAGGAAAGCCUACACCUACACCUUCAACAUCACAGGGCCAAAGGAUGGUGGGUCACACACAUGCAGAUAUACUGUGAUAAAUCGUCUCCUUAGAUCAGUCCAGUCUAAGGAAAGCAAAGCAAUCAUCAUCAGUGUCAAAGACCCUCCACCCCCUCCCACACUUUCUCUGAACACUUCCAGGGGAGUUGUGAGUGAGGGCUACCCCCUCCUCUUCGUCUGCACAGCUCCUGGAAACACAGUGGAGCAUAGGUUUCACUUCUACAAAGAAGGAGCUGAGGUCAUCCCUGGAUCUGAGGUCAAAUCAUCAGAGACGAGCGCUCAACUCUGCAUCCCACAGAGCAGUCAGAAUCACACGGGGAAUUUUACUUGUGCCUACGAGGAGAAAGUAGAGGAGAGGUGGAUCCUGUCCUUUGUGAGCAGUGUUGUGACUGUCUUUGUGAAAGAGCCUCCUUUCGCUCCUGAACUGCGAGUGGAUCCUUCCUCUGCUGUGGUGACUGAAGGCUACCCCUUACGUUUCACCUGCAUUGCCUUCAGGGAUGACUCAAGGCUGAGAUUUCACUUCUACAGGGAUGGGGUUGAGAUUUCACCAGGACAGGGAGGCUCAGAGAUCACUGCCAUGAACCCUGGGAAUUUCACUGAGCUCCUGUUACCGCAGACUCCAAGGAGGUUCAGUGGGAAAUUCACUUGCGGAUUUGAGGAGGAUGUGGGCGGGACGUGGGUGCCAUCACCCCAGAGCAAGGUUCUGGAGGUCACUGUGAAGGAUCCCCCUGCUCAGCCAGAGCUGAUCUUGAACCCCCCCUCUGGAGAAGUGAGGGAAGGGGACCCCUUACUUAUCACUUGUGUAGCCUAUGGCAUUAGCAGCGAAUGGAAGUUUUACUUCUAUAAAGACGGGACAGAACAAUUCUCAGAGGCUUGCACAAGGAACCAUUCUUUCUUCAGCAUCCCAGCAGCUGAACCAACUGUGACAGGGCAAUUCACCUGCAGGUACGAGGAGAGAGUCAGUGGGAAGUGGAUCCCAUCACCCCUGAGCCAAGCAAUGAUGGUCACCAUGCAAGCCUCAUCUCUACCCAUCCCAUUGGUGACUGGAUGCGCAGCUGCUGCAGCUGUUAUAGUCCUGGUGUUGCUGCUGGCUGUCUGUAUCUGCCAGAGGAGGAGAGGCCGUGUUCACUGGAAGGGGCUCCACAACAAAGAUGACACAAGUGCUUAUCCUCUGGCCCUGGUCAGUUAAACUGGUAUUUGAUCUCAGGAGUGCCUGGCACAUAUCUUUGCUCAAAAAAUGCACUCAUUUUCAGCCUCUUCUCCACCUCAGUGGAGCAAAAAAGAAGACAAAAGGAAAGAAAAGGAUUGUUUCUAUUCUUCUUUGCUUUGAACAUUGAAGCCAGAGUUCACUUUGUAAAUGCCCCUGUCCAGCUGGUCAGUAAAUCUCUCUUCAAGUCCACCAAUGUUUCUUUCUCUCAUUCCCUUCCGCCAUCUUUCUCAGCCUGAUAGA
This 1890-nucleotide long non-coding RNA is filed under the name Dromaius novaehollandiae (emu). RNAcentral's name for it is "lncRNA (ENSDNVG00000009659.1)". The record is from RNAcentral. Lineage: Eukaryota; Metazoa; Chordata; Aves; Casuariiformes; Dromaiidae.